AGCCAGACUCCUACGGGAGGCAGCAGUGAGUCCUCUUGGUCAAUGUCCGCCAGGCUGACCACGCCAAGUCGCCCCCUGGAAGACGGCACCCCGGGUUGUAACACCCUUUUGUCGGGCCGACAAGCGAGUCCAGUGUGACUCAUCGAGAGUACCCGAAGAAAAAGCAUCGGCUAACUCCGUGCCAGCAGCCGCGGUAAUAACGAGGAUGCGAGCGUUAUCCGGAUUUAUUGGGUUUAAAGGGUGCGCAGGCGGAGGUGCAAGUCAGCGGUCAAAUUGCGGGGCUCAACCCCGUACUGCCGUUGAAACUGCAUCCCUUGAGUGCGCGAGAAGUAUGCGGAAUGCGUGGUGUAGCGGUGAAAUGCAUAGAUAUCACGCAGAACUCCGAUUGCGAAGGCAGCAUACCGGCGCGCAACUGACGCUCAUGCACGAAAGCGUGGGUAUCGAACAGGAUUAGAUACCCGAGUA
This 465-nucleotide ribosomal RNA is filed under the name uncultured bacterium. Its description in RNAcentral is "bacterial SSU rRNA". It matches the Rfam family "Bacterial small subunit ribosomal RNA", at positions 329 to 792 of the family's 1533-position model. The record is from RNAcentral.